Rattus norvegicus (Norway rat) is the source of this 2042-nucleotide long non-coding RNA. RefSeq lists it as uncharacterized. The record is from RefSeq and is a predicted model, not a curated record. Lineage: Eukaryota; Metazoa; Chordata; Mammalia; Rodentia; Muridae.
AUGUCACCCGACUCUGCCAAAAGCCAACUUGGAAGCACUUUGAAAAACAUAGUCAGAGCUACACACUCACUACACAGAGGCAAAAGCAAGUCCCUUAGGGUAUUUCAGAAAUGAAAUCUUAGCCACUCCAAUACUGAGCGUCAUUCAAGCCUAAUGCACACCGGGAAAUAGAGUCCAGCCACCCGCCUAGUCUUUGGGCGGUCGGUGACUUCCUGCACGCGUGCAUUCUGGGAAAUCGAGUCCGCACCCGUGAUUACUUAGUACUCCGGUUGUGAGGCACUCUGGGAAAUGAAGUCGUCACCACGCCCUCACCGCAUUGCAGGAUUCCAAUGACACAAGAAGGAGCUUCAGCUUUCCUGAGUAUGAAUCUCCCGUUAACCAAUUAAUACCCCGGGAGAUCGCUCCAAAGUAGGAAAUACACUGUCACCACCACCACCACCACCUCCACCACCACCACCGUGAGGAAAUGUUCCAGACCUCCAAAUGGAUUUAGGUGGGCGAUUAAAGACUGGAGGAGCUGCUGUUUUUAAGGCCAAAAAGCACCCUCUGACAUCCCACACGGCCAGAAUCUGGGUCGACAAGUCUGAUUAGAUCAUGACCUGUCCUCUGGAAGGGUUCUGAGGCUGAACGCUUUGAUUAGAGUCACAUGAUUAGAGGUGCUUUGAAGGCCCAGCGGUGACUACACGUGCCUUUGAUCCCAGCAGGCUGGGGCAGGCAGAUCUGUGAGUUGGAGGCCAGCCUGGUCUCCUUGUGUGAGUUCCUUGACAGCCAGAGCUACAUGGAGGAAUCCGGCCUUUAAAAAAUAAAUAAAAAUAAAAUAAAAUAAAAAAACACAAGACUUUGAGGAGUUCUGCUGAGGGAGGAUACUAGCCAGUGCUGCUUCUUUCUUGCAAUGACAACAUCCGCCUUUCUGUAUCACCCCACUAGCAACUCAGCUGCAUCUAUGUUGCCAGGAGAUAUGUCUCAUCCCAACUUCCAGAAAUAACCCAGUGGUUCCCACCCCAGGGAAUGUGGCUUACAUCACCCAGGAGAGGGAGCAGUUGCCCACAAGCUGCCACAGGCGCCUGUUUCCUGCCAGUCUCCCGGUCCUGGGCAGCAGAAUCCUGGAGCACCCACUCCAGGGUUCACACACACUGACAUUUCAGUGCAGGGGUGCGAAGCAGUUGCCAGCUCCAUGUCCCGUCCCCCUUGGGGCUGCACAAGGUGGAGUCUUACAGUGAAGCAGUGGGCCUCAAGUCCCACUCUUUAUCUCUCAGCAACUGUAUGGCCUUGAGGGAACCCCUUUCCCCUUUCUGGGCCUAGGGCAUCACACCUGCACUGCCCAGGUGGGGCCUGUAUCCUCCAGCAACCAAAGCCUGAAUUCUUCCUGAUUGUUUUAUCUCCUUGAGGACUCAGCUCUCCAAACUCCUGGUUUCUUAGCUCUAUACGAUCAUCAUCAUCAUCAUCAUCAUCACCAUCACCAUCACCAUCACCAUCAUCAUCAACCAAAUUCCAAGAUUCCAGAUCCUUUGAUCUGGACUGGGACAUCUUGGCAUUCCACUGGAAAAUCCAGUUAAGACAUUAGAUUAAAGGGCCACUUUUAUUGAAUAGCUCAACUCUUAGGUCCACAGGCAAGUUUAAUGAAGGCCUUUGUUGUUGAAUGCUUAAGGAACUAAAACGACGGGCGGGGGCGGGGUGAGUGCACGCAGGCCUUUUAAUCCCACUACCCAGGAGGCCCAGGAGGCCGAGGCAGGUGAAUCUGAGUACGAGGCCAGCCUGGUCCAACAGAGUUCCAGAACAGCAAAGGCUACACAAAGAAACUGGCUGGCUGGCGGGGGUGGGAACCUGAAAUGUUUACCUUGCACAAAGCAGGUCAGUCACCAUCUUAAUGCAACAAAUCCCUCUCAAACCCUGCUAGGUGGGAGGGAGGCUCGGUGAGACAAAGACUACCAAUUACUUUCCAAGGUUCCUUUAAGACAUAAGUUUUAUUGGGGCUGGAAAGAUGGCUUGGUGGCUAAGAGCACUUGCUGCUCUUGCAGAUGACCCAGGGUUGGUUCCCAGCA